Saccoglossus kowalevskii is the source of this 84-nucleotide non-coding RNA. NCBI's taxonomy places the organism in Eukaryota, Metazoa, Hemichordata, Enteropneusta, Harrimaniidae. The record is from the annotation of a RefSeq genome assembly.
AGUGUGGUGGCCGAGUGGUUAAAGCGUUGGACUUUAAGUUCCAAUGGACAUUAGUCCUCGUGGGUUCAAAUCCCACCCGCACUA